This 730-nucleotide ribosomal RNA is filed under the name uncultured bacterium. RNAcentral describes it as "bacterial SSU rRNA". It matches the Rfam family "Bacterial small subunit ribosomal RNA", at positions 789 to 1515 of the family's 1533-position model. The record is from RNAcentral.
GGUAGUCCACCCCGUAAACGUUGGGAACUAGUUGUGGGGACCAUUCCACGGUUUCCGUGACGCAGCUAACGCAUUAAGUUCCCCGCCUGGGGAGUACGGCCGCAAGGCUAAAACUCAAAGGAAUUGACGGGGACCCGCACAAGCGGCGGAGCAUGCGGAUUAAUUCGAUGCAACGCGAAGAACCUUACCAAGGCUUGACAUACACCAGAACGGGCCAGAAAUGGUCAACUCUUUGGACACUGGUGAACAGGUGGCGCAUGGUUGCCGUCAGCUCGUGUCGUGAGAUGUUGGGUUAAGUCCCGCAACGAGCGCAACCCUCGUUCUAUGUUGCCAGCACGUAAUGGUGGGAACUCAUGGGAUACUGCCGGGGUCAACUCGGAGGAAGGUGGGGAUGACGUCAAAUCAUCAUGCCCCUUAUGUCUUGGGCUUCACGCAUGCUACAAUGGCCGGUACAAAGGGCUGCAAUACCGUGAGGUGGAGCGAAUCCCAAAAAGCCGGUCCCAGUUCGGAUUGAGGUCUGCAACUCGACCUCAUGAAGUCGGAGUCGCUAGUAAUCGCAGAUCAGCAACGCUGCGGUGAAUACGUUCCCGGGUCUUGUACACACCGCCCGUCAAGUCAUGAAAGUCGGUAACACCUGAAGCCGGUGGCCCAACCCUUGUGGAGGGAGCCGUCGAAGGUGGGAUCGGUAAUUAGGACUAAGUCGUAACAAGGUAGCCGUACCGGAAGGUGC